GAGGAAUCAUUGUGAUCAUCAUACUCAUCUUCCUGGUUGUCAGUGUGUGCACUCUCGUGUUUCUCCAGUGGUUUAAGUCGACAAAUCCACAACAGACUGAGAGUCAAACAGGUGAAGACGAGCUAGCUAAAACAGAAGAAGAAGGGAUCCAUUAUGGAGAGAUCAACUUCUCCAAGCAGAGACCUGGACAGUCCUCUGACUCAGUGCAGGCCAGCAGAGAGCAGCAGGAUAUUGUGUAUGAACAGGUCAAAGUGUCCGAGCCAACAAACAGAUUCACACAGACUGCUGACGGCCCAGAGGAGCUGUAUGCUCAAGUGAAGAACAAAUGAGAGUUGUUUUGUUGUUUAAAGACAGAUUACACUUAGAUGCAAUUUACAUUAAGCAUCACUUUAUUAUUUAUUCAUACAUGCAUUCAUACAGGUUAUUUUAUGUCAGGAACAGAUACUGAAGCGUUGAUAGAAAAUUUUCACUGUUCACAGUUCAAUGAAGAGAAGCUCAAAACUUCCUCAUCCUGCAGCUUUUUUCAUUUUCAUUAUCAAUAUGUUCAGUUACAUGUGUGCUGACAUAGCAUAGCUGUUUUAUUAUUAGUCAUGUAUAUUU
Scomber scombrus (Atlantic mackerel) is the source of this 600-nucleotide long non-coding RNA. RefSeq lists it as uncharacterized. NCBI's taxonomy places the organism in Eukaryota, Metazoa, Chordata, Actinopteri, Scombriformes, Scombridae. The record is from RefSeq and is a predicted model, not a curated record. The transcript is spliced from 3 exons.